GGCUGCUAGCCCUUCAAAAUAUUGAAGCAGCAAUGAAGGAGGCGAAUGCCAUUGAAAAACAAAAUUUGAAGGCCUUCAUUGCUGCUAAUAAUGAAAUAAAUAAGUUGUUAAAAGAUGCAAUUGAAAAAUUAGGCUAACAUUACCAUGUUAGCCUACUUUUUCAGUUGCUUAGCGGCUUAGCCAAUUGAAAAAUUGCUAUGUUAGCCUAAUUUUUCAAUUGCCUCUCAGCAAAUUGUAUCUCUCAUUAUUACAAAGAAAUACUUCCUUGAUUAGUCAGUAUUAGUUUACUUCAUUAUUCUAAUUGUAUAAAAUUUCAAGUUAAUAGUUGUAGUUAGUUCUAGUUUUCAAUACGGUAAUCAAGUUUUUAGUUGUAGUUAGGUAUACUUGUCCAAUAAUUAAUAAUCAAGUUAUUAGUUGUAGUUAGGUCUAGUUUUUCAAUAAUCACAAUAAUAAGUGAUAAUAAUCAAUUUAUUUGCUCAUGAGUCUUCGCUCAUACAAAUACAAUUUUUGAGUUGACUAUCUAGCUUAAUAUCCUACAACAAUAUAUCAUUUUACAACUUUAAUAACACAUGUUAAUUAUAUAAAUUGAUGAAAAAACUCAGGAAUACAUAGAGAAUAUAAUAAAUAUCUGUUAUAGAAUGAUAUGAAAUACUUAAGAUAUACGUUUAAGAUAAUAACAAUAUAUUACUGUAGGUACACUAUGAUAAUCAGCCAAACUAAUAAUAAGUAAUUUAUUCUACUCUAAAAAUAGAAAUAUUUAACUAGCACAAAUAAAUACUAGUAAUACAAAGUAAUAUGUUGUGUCUUUUUGCAUUAUUUUAAUUUGCUAAUAAACUACUUUCAAAUAAGUUAUAGCCAUAACAAUAAAAACAAACAAUGAAAAUCGAAUGAAUGAAAUUAAAAUGUAAGAAAGCAUUAUUGAAUUGAAAAAAUGUUUUUGUACUUUCAAUAAUCAUAAUAGCAACUAAUAUAUUUCACUCUAAUUAUAGUAAUUGCACAAAUGAAAACUAUUAAUCAAUGUAUUUUUUUGUCUUCUUCAAAGUAUUUACAUGGAAACACAGUGCCUAGAGUACAACUGUGUAAUAAAAUCUUUUCUUACGUA
Molecule: long non-coding RNA, 1102 nt
Organism: Nilaparvata lugens (brown planthopper)
Lineage: Eukaryota; Metazoa; Arthropoda; Insecta; Hemiptera; Delphacidae
Exons: 2
Source: RefSeq, a predicted model, not a curated record